UGAUUAAUUAAUCUAAAGCCUGGUGCACAUUUGAAUAUGCUAUAAAUGAAACGAAACUAGAAAUGGUAGAAUAUGCAUAUUACAUUAUCGGUUCCUUUCUAACUACCAUACAUGAGCUUGCAAACUUAAAUUAUUAGAUCGAUGCUUAUUGAUACAUUGCAGGUAGGCACAUGAUUCGAAUGAGCUAAUAACUAACAUAUACGCAUACAACUUAGAAUAUAGAUUACAACUAAAUGGCUUCAAGCCUUAAGGCUGCAUUUUUAUUCAUGCUUCAAGUGUUCCAGCUUACAUUGUAUACCAGGAUAGUAAUUGUGUACCUGGUGAUUGGGAAAUAAAAAGAGGAGGAAGGAUCAGUAGUGAAGCGCAGUAACAAACACAUCAACAGACUUGGUACAACAACACCAGUGAAACUAAACAGCAGAAACCUAGGAAAGAUUCAAAAUCAAACAGGGGCAAAUAGCAAUAGCAAUUCCGAAAAAUCCAAACAACAACAACCAAAAUGAAUACCACAAAACCAAUAGAGGUGAACCAGUGCUCAAACUCAAAAGAGAUGAUCGAGUAGCAGAUGGAUAAUCAGUAACACACUCAAGAAUAACCACUAGCAACUUCAAGGGGGCUAAAUAACAAUACCAAAUGAACUCUAGUAGUACUAGAUGCACUUAAAACCAAAAGAGGAGGACUAGUUACAAGAGAAGCAACGCUUCUGAUUUUGAACACUCAAGAAUUCAGCCUAUACUCUCUAUUUUUCAACUUAGCUCUUUAGGUGUUAAAAGCCAGCCUUACCUCUGGAAUUAACUCUCCAAAUUCCAGCUUCUCUUUUUUACUCUCCCAAAAAUUCUCCUCAAUCUUUUUUCUCUUCUUUGUUCUAAAAAUCUGAUCUUCUCCCAAAAAUUUCUUUUUCUCCUAAGUGUCAAAUGAUCCCUAUUUAUAUCUAAAACAAGACUCUCUUCCCCUCCCUUUUAAUUAUUACUACUACCCUCUUUUUAUUAUUACCCUUCCAAUUAGCCUCCCCUUUUUUUUAAUUUUCAGCCCCCCAAAUAUUCUCUUCUAUGUCUAUCUUUUAACCUUUUAUCAUUAUUUGCACUAUUCCUACUUCUAAUUAAGCAAACACUCUCAUUACUUAGUGGUCCCUUUCUACCAAUUAGUUCAAAUUAAAAUUGUUAGGGGCCUACAAGAUAAACCAAUUCAGUCAAACCAAUUCCCAUUUUUUAACUUCCCAAAUUACCCCCGAAACCCCUUAAUUAUUAUUGCAUUACCCUAAGCUUUACAAAUCUAAAGUUACAUAU
This 1286-nucleotide long non-coding RNA is filed under the name Nicotiana benthamiana. RNAcentral's name for it is "long non-coding RNA (NBEN_LNC015292)". The record is from RNAcentral. Lineage: Eukaryota; Viridiplantae; Streptophyta; Magnoliopsida; Solanales; Solanaceae.